Lolium rigidum is the source of this 1378-nucleotide long non-coding RNA. RefSeq lists it as uncharacterized. NCBI's taxonomy places the organism in Eukaryota, Viridiplantae, Streptophyta, Magnoliopsida, Poales, Poaceae. The transcript is spliced from 5 exons. The record is from RefSeq and is a predicted model, not a curated record.
CCUUUUUGAUCGGUCUUUCUCAGUAUCUUUCUUCUAAAUGGUCAUAAUCACUCUCUCAGUCUCCACUCUUUUUUUUCUUCAGUCUUCACUCUCUUUCAUCAGUCCUCACUCCUCACUCUUCAUUCUUUUUCUAGUUCAGUCUUUUCUUCAGUUUGUCUCUGUCUCAGAUUUCGUCUCUACUUGACUUAUUCUCUCACUGUUUUAAUAACGUGCAAACCUAGAGCACAUAUAUGAACUGGUGUAACUUGUGUGUUAUUCUCAGUCUCAGCCUAGGUCAUUCUCUUAUCUUUAUUAUCUCUCAGUUUUUCCUCUUAAGUUUAAUCAUUUUAUCAUUCAUUUUUUCUCAGUCUCAGCUUCUUAGUUUUAGUCUUCAUUUUCUUGUUAAUCUCAUUCAUUGUGUGUGAUUUGCUUGUUACCUCAGUCUUCGGUUUCAAGUUACACCACUUCAUAUAUGUGCUCUAGGUUUGCACGUUCUUAGAAGUUGUAUUUGCUUGUUGGGUUUCUAGGAGCAAGAGUUUGAUACUUUUACUGAAUAAGAGGUAGGUGUCUCAUGGGGCGUCUCUCACGGCAUGGCAAGCCACGUGGACAAAGAAUUGGAUUUGUUGUAUCCUUUUGCCAAUUCAGUUUCGAGAUCAAGACAUUGUGUUGAAGUGGUACAUGAUUUCAUCAAGAAAGAGAGAGGUACUGAAAAGUAGCAGGAUGAGACGGGGUCACAUGCCUAUGCUGAGACGGAAGGAGGAACAAUAGGCUAAUACUUUUACGGACCAUGUAUCUGCUACACCAUCGGCUCCGCCUGUGACGCCUUGUGUGCAAUCCUUUAUGCACGACAUUGACGGUCUCGGAUACAAGCACACAUGGUGGUUUCUCACUGCUGCACCGCCACUCAGUUGAAUUUUUUUCCACCAUAGAAACCGUAUAAGCUGGACAAGCAUUUCCUAACUCGGUAUAGCUUUUUGGUUACUAAGCUGUGAUAAGUCAAGCGAGAGAUCUCAGGAUUGCUUCUCCCCUGGUAUUUUGAUGCAAAACAACUUUUGGGGGAGAUGUACAUGAUUUUGGAUCUAGAAUGAAGACAAGAGGUUCUGGAAAGCAGUAGGGGGAGGGGGAGAAGUCGUGACACACCUGUGCUGAGAGUGUAUGAGGUACAAAGGGUUGCCCUAACCUGGAGGCAGCUGGUAUACCAGGCCACCGAAAAUUUACUGAGAUGGCGACGUGAAAGCCUCAACAAAAGCUGAAUUGUUGGGCUUCUCUGUUUAUAGUUCUUAUAUACGAGAGCCAAGUUCACUAUAGGCCGAUGUAUAAAUAAUGAGUUCUUGCAAAUAAAACCAGGAAAACACAGACUGGGUGGACUAAUCUGAAUGAAUUUAUUUGUUUUCGUGUU